AAUCACCAUUGGAGGCUCCCUCCCGGGGCACCCGUGCUGGCGAGCUGAGAGGAAAUGGCAGGGAGGUCCCUGACAUCGAAGGCCGAGCCCACCGCAGGAGCCAUGGACAGGGCUGAGAAGGCCGGAGGGCAGGACACAUCCUCACAGAAAAUUGAAGACUUGAUGGAAAUGGUGCAAAAGCUGCAGAAAGGUCAUGUGUCUCCUUUGUGUGAGGCACAGCCUGAGGUUUGGGGCCAGGCAGAUGUGGGUUUAAUUUCAGGCCCCACAAUGUACGAAUUUGGGAAAUAAUCCUCUUCACCUUCUCUUUCUUUUAAAACUUAAUUACUUAAACUAAAAAUAGGGCCCCAUGAUUCAAAAUUAAAGAAGCAAAAGGGUGUGGAAGGCAAAAUGUUUUCCCAAAACCCUGUUCCACACCUCUCGCUGGUCACCCAUUUGGCUCCACUGCAGUCCAUUAGAUCCAGAAGUUGCCACCUUCACUUCCCUUCCUUCCCCCUCACCCACUACUCCCUCUUUGCUCACUAGGCUCCUGCCAGCCGUGUUCCCACCUCACAACGGGUCUUUGCACUGACUACCUCCCAACCCCACCCAAAGAGCUGAAGGGCCUGCGCCCCCACUACUUGACUUGGGGCCCUCAUGAUACCUUCCCAUAUCUCAGGAGCACUUCCCACUCCUUUGCUCUUUAACCCCCCUUUCCCUACUUUAUUUCUCUUGAACACGAUUACCACAGCCCCACUCGGUAUCUUAUUGUGUCUGUUCCCAGUCUCGCCCACCCAGAAUGUGAGCCCCGUGAGGGCCCCACAGAGCACCUGCUUGCAGGAGGAGGUACUCAAUAGAUGUGUGUUGUGUGAAAGCAGCAGAGACACAAGGCUGGCAACCGCCCCACCUCUGCCUGCCCUGUCAACUGAACCUCCUUUCCUCCCUGCAGUGGGAAGCCUAGAGCCCCGAGUUGAGGUCCUGAUUAACCGGAUUAAUGAGGUCCAGCAAGGUGAGUUCAGGGGCCUUGGCUGCCAGCUAGGACCAGCUACAUGGUUUGCGGGGCUCAGUGCCAAAUGAGAAUGCAGGGUCCCUUGUUCCAAAGUUACUGGUUAUUCACAACAGCAACAGCAGAGCCUUAAAUUAAGUACAGGGCAUUUCAGCAUGCGACUGCCAUAGUUACAUGCCUAUGAUCCUGGCCCUGCUAUCAGCAGAGCCUGGCAAGGAGAGCUGGAAGCCUCAUUUCCUACUCUAGAAAAUCUAGGCCACUAUAGAUUUACCUGAAGGCAAAUGAGAAAUGUCACUGUUGGCAAGAGAAUAGAGGCUGCACUCACACAAUGUUUUUCUGCUCUUUGGUGAAGCAAAAAAGAAAGCCAAUAAAGACCUAGGAGAGGCCCGGACCAUCUGUGAGGCCCUGCAGAAGGAACUGGACUUGCUGCAUGGAGAGAAAGUACACCUGAAGGAGAUCUUGAGCAAGAAACAAGAGACCCUGAGGAUCCUCCGGCUGCAUUGCCAGGAAAAGGAAAGUGAGGCACAGAGGAAGCACACCAUGUUGCAGGAGUGCAAGGAGAGAAUUUCUGCCCUGAACUUGCAGAUUGAAGAAGAGAAGAACAAACAGAGACAGCUGAGGUUGGCAUUCGAGGAACAGCUGGAAGAUCUGAUGGGCCAGCACAAGGACCUCUGGGACUUCCACAGGCCAGAGCGGCUGGCAAGGGAGAUUUGUGCCCUGGACAGCAGCAAGGAGCAGCUGCUCAAGGAAGGUGAGGCCAGGGAGGGUGGAUGGCCCAUAUCUGACCUCACGUGCCCUCAUGUGCUCACCUGCCCCUUCGUGCUGCAGAGAAGCUGGUCAAGGCGACACUGGAAGACGUGAAGCAUCAGCUGUGCUCCCUGUGUGGGGCUGAGGGCCCCUCCACCCUCGAUGAGGGACUCUUUCUCCGCAGCCAGGAGGCUGCAGCCACAGUGUAAGAUGUGGAGGUGAAGAGGGUGGGAGGAGGGAGUGGCCGGUGCUGACCACCCCCUACUGGGCCCCCCCAGGCAGCUGUUUCAGGAAGAGCACAGGAAGGCUGAGGAGCUCCUAGCAGCUGCUGCCCAGUGCCACCAGCAGCUGCAGCAGAAGUGCCAACAACAGCAGCAGAAGCGGCAGAGGCUGAAGGAAGAGCUGGAAAAGCAUGGAAUGCAAGUCUCUACCCAAGCCCAGAGCACACAAGAGGAAGAGGCUGGCCCGGGAGAUGUGACUCCCAGACCAGGUAGACCAGUGACAUGGUGGAGUUGAAAAGAGAGGCUCACUGCAGAGCACUGUUUCCAUGGAAAAAUGGAACAUGGCAAAGUGCAGAAAUUCUUCACUCAGUCCAGGACAGACAAGUUCUCUAAGAUGCAGUUAAUCAUACCUGUCUUAAACAAAUUGGCAAUACACUAUCAAACAUGACUUUUAAAUCAAGUGGAAGUUAGAAAAUAUAUUGAACUGAAUGGCAAUGAAGAUACCACAUUUUAAAACUGUAAUUCAGUUAAGCGCACGAUUAGAAGGAACUUUAGCUUUUAUUGGUUCACCACAAUUUUUUUAAAAAUCAACCAAUGAUUGUUCAGUUAAUGAAUAAAAGGUAUUUGACACAGUUCACCUAUUCAUGUGAAAAAAAAUACUAAUAAACAGUCAGCUUCCCUUA
Molecule: small RNA, 2633 nt
Filed under: Pongo abelii (Sumatran orangutan)
Lineage: Eukaryota; Metazoa; Chordata; Mammalia; Primates; Hominidae
Description: retained intron
Source: RNAcentral